CAUUCGACUCUGAUGGUCCAGAGGCUAUCGUGGUGUUGAUCCUACUUGAGGUCCUUCUGCCAUGAUGCUCCGCCCUGCCUCAGCCCAUGGCAAGGGAGCCAGCCACGGACUGAGCAUGAGCCAAAAUCCGUCUGUCCUCCUUCAAGCUGUUGGUCACAGGGUGAAAGCGGACUACUGUGGACUCACCGAGCUUUCGAGGACACCAUGAUUUCUGGAUUUUUCUGCUGCAUUUCCUCCUCUUCACUCCAGGCUGCUGGCCUCUCCUCUGCUGCCGACUGGGGAGCCUCAGAGUGCCCUGUUCCAGCCAGACGCUCUGGUGUCCACGAGGACUCCACGGCCCCUUCCUGCCCCAGCCAGGUCGCCUCUCCAGCCUGACCUCGGCCCGGGGCCAGACGUGUGCUCCUACUCCCGUCCCUUGGGUCCACCAUCCUGAACCCAGCGUGUCCCAGGCUGGGCUCCUGCCUUUGCCUUCGCAGGCCGCUCCCUCAGUCUUGCCCACUCUUCCAGUUGCUCAGGCCAACAGCUGGGGUCACCCUGGAAACGUCUUUCUUACUCGAAGGCCACACCCUAUCCCUCAGAAAGGUCUUGCGGCUCGACCUCAGUGUCCGCCGCCAUCGGCGUCCCGGGUUAGAGCAGAGGCCUCCCUCAUGGCCUCUGUGCCCCCCUCUUGCCUGGUAUCAGCCAGGGCCACGGCGGGGGACAGAGGAUCUGUGUCCUGGGACCCGGGAUGUGACUACGGAGCGGUUGCCAAGCUGCAGGUCGUGGGCAAGGUCGAGGACACCGAGGUCCCUAGGACAGGUUCCCUCAUUGCUGAUGGGAGUCCUGUUUGGGGUGGGAAAUCAGCUGCUGCCAAACUUCAGCCCGAGAGAGAGAGAGAAAGAGAGAGAGAGAGAGAGAGAGAGAGAGAGAGAGAG
Long non-coding RNA from Sciurus carolinensis (gray squirrel), 914 nucleotides. RefSeq lists it as uncharacterized. NCBI's taxonomy places the organism in Eukaryota, Metazoa, Chordata, Mammalia, Rodentia, Sciuridae. The record is from RefSeq and is a predicted model, not a curated record. The transcript is spliced from 3 exons.